RNAcentral lists this ribosomal RNA (514 nucleotides) under uncultured bacterium. RNAcentral describes it as "bacterial SSU rRNA". It matches the Rfam family "Bacterial small subunit ribosomal RNA", at positions 29 to 520 of the family's 1533-position model. The record is from RNAcentral.
AGCGAACGUUAGCGGCGGGCCUAACACAUGCAAGUCGAACGCGAAAGGUCUUCGGACUGAGUAGAGUGGCGCACGGGUGAGUAACACGUAGGUAAUCUACCCUUUGGCGGGGGAUAACGUUCCGAAAGGAGCGCUAAUACCGCAUAAGACCACGGAGUCUCCGGACGCUGUGGGAAAAGGUGGCCUCUUCUUGAAAGCUACCACCGAAGGAUGAGCCUGCGUCCCAUCAGCUAGUUGGUAAGGUAAUGGCUUACCAAGGCGAAGACGGGUAGCUGGUUUGAGAGAACGAUCAGCCACACUGGCACUGGAACACGGGCCAGACUCCUACGGGAGGCAGCAGUGAGGAAUAUUGGGCAAUGGGCGAAAGCCUGACCCAGCCACGCCGCGUGAGUGAUGAAGGCCCUCGGGUCGUAAAGCUCUGUGGAGAGGGACGAAAACCCUGGUUUCAAAUAGGCUCCAGGCUUGACGGUACCUCUUUAGCAAGCACCGGCUAACUCUGUGCCAGCAGCCGCGG